Molecule: ribosomal RNA, 253 nt
Filed under: uncultured bacterium
Lineage: Bacteria
Description: partial 16S ribosomal RNA
Rfam family: Bacterial small subunit ribosomal RNA
Source: RNAcentral
UACGGAGGGAGCUAGCGUUGUUCGGAAUUACUGGGCGUAAAGCGUACGUAGGCGGUUAUUCAAGUCAGAGGUGAAAGCCCGGGGCUCAACCCCGGAACUGCCUUUGAAACUAGAUAGCUAGAAUCUUGGAGAGGUCAGUGGAAUUCCGAGUGUAGAGGUGAAAUUCGUAGAUAUUCGGAAGAACACCAGUGGCGAAGGCGACUGACUGGACAAGUAUUGACGCUGAGGUACGAAAGCGUGGGGAGCAAGCAGG